Long non-coding RNA from Strigops habroptila (Kakapo), 2701 nucleotides. The record is from Ensembl. Lineage: Eukaryota; Metazoa; Chordata; Aves; Psittaciformes; Psittacidae.
ACAAUUUCAAAUCAAUUUUAUUUUCUUAAAUUGGUGUUGUACAAUUUAAAGCCAAAAAAAACAAAACCCAACAUAAGGUCACACAAAACACAAAUAAAAAACAUUGACAAAGUAUCAAGCAUUUUGCCUUAUAAAGAACAUCAUCACCAUCUGCUCUCACAAACCUGAAGAUACGUGUUUAUUAGACUGAGGUUUCUUGAAAUCUAUUGAAGACGCCAGACACAAAACGCUGCAACAGGAAGGAAGCCAUGACACCAGCAGGUGGGCUACACUAGCAACUUCACAACGGUGGGGGCUGCUUUUGGGCUGGUUUCUUGCUUUUUUCUCUUUUUUUGUGUGUUUUUUUUUUUUCUUUUUGCAUACCUUGUCUACAAAGCAAUAAAUAUUAUUCACCAAAAAAAAGUUGGUUUCACGCUCCAUGCAAUUAGAUAAAAAAGGAAGUCACCAAAGUGAUGGCAAAAUAAAUCACCUGUCUGAUUUUUUUCUUCCCCCCCCCCCCCCAGUUUUGGGGGUGGUUUUUUUAUGUGUUUUCUUGUGUGUUUUUGUCUUUUUUUUGUUUUUUUUCAAGCACAGUGGCUAAGUUUCAAGUAUUGAGAGAAAAAACAUCUAUAUACACGUUUGUGUUUGCGUGUGUAUCCAUACACAUACACACACCUCCUCGUAUGUAUAUACACAAACACAUACAUAUAUACCGGCUGUAGGUCUGUAAACCACGCUUUUUUUGGAGCAAUAUAUACUUGUGUACAUUGAAUGUGGACGAUUUUGAUACAUUCAAGUUAUGAAGCACGGCUGGAAGGUUAGUGCUGAGCUCGCCAUGCGCAGGGACCAUCCCACCCGCGUGUCCGGGGCUGGAGCUGUCGCUGUGUGCCGGGGGGGCUCGGGGUGUCUGUAUUGCAGAGUCAGUCCUGGCUUAGUGCUCCCGCGCCACCUCCUGCAGCGUAGCCCUUUGCAGAACUGGCAAUAGCCUCUGGGCAGCAGUCUGGGUCUCCUCGGCGUUCCCAUCCACAGGCUGGGCCUUGGUUGGUUGGGAUUGUAUCCUUAUCUUCUGUUCUCUUUGUCCCAGGCACAAGCACAACGGCCACAGAAGCAGCAGGCUGCGAGUGCAGGAUGUAACAGCGGCCCAACACUGAAGCAUUUGUCAAAGCUACACUUAAACUUCCCUGUUUGGGGCGACUGGGAAUCUCUUUUAAUUCAUUUAUUGGCGUUUCAACACCCACGUUGCCAAAGAUGAUGCCAGCUCCAAAGUCAAUCGAGUUGCUCCUGAAACCCUUUGUAAAGUAUCACACUGAACGUGCCAAUAUUGAGAGGAAAAAAAGCGACGAGGACUUAACCACCAUGUGCAAAAUAUGUUUAAAUCCCAAAAAAAACAAAGCCUGAGGUUUUGAGUUGCUUUCAAAGAUCCUUUUCUGCCCAGCGCUAACAGAAUACUGCCACGACUGAUAAAUUAAGACACACACAUGCACACGCAGACGGAAAGGCAGCCAGCUCUCCUCUCACACAUGCUCACAGCAUCCGAAGCCUCAACCAGAGCCACUCGCACUCGCAGUCUCAUUUGGCUACAGAGUCUCCUUAGAAGAAAUGCUGAACAUAAAACUGAACACUACAAGAUUUCUUUAUAAAAAACACGAAGCAGCAAAUAAAACUUAAAAAAAAAAAGGGUUUCUAAUUGUAAGUGUGUAGGAUCUGAACGCCUGUUCUUGAGCUCUUUAAAAAGCUUUAUACUGACUGUCCUUAAAAGAACAUUUAAAUAAACAACAAAACAAACCAUGGUACUGCAAGUCAGCUUUGCCCAGUGUGGAGGAGGAACAGCACAGACUGCAGUGCUCUUUGCCUCACACUCACAAGAUACAGUACAGUUAAAUACAUACAGUUACACACAAACCAUAUCUAUAUCAAUAUAUAUUCACCCAGAGGAAUACAUAUUAAUAUACGCACACAUGUAGUGCAAUAAAACAACCAGGAAGCAAGGAAAAGGAAUAAAAAGAACAACAUUCCUAACAGUCGUGAUGUUCCUGGGUUGUUGUGUGAUGCAAAGUCAACUCCUCAAAGUUCCCAUAGUGUGUAAAGUGCUCCUUUGAUUCACAAAGCUAGUGUUUUCAGUUUGGGGUGGGGUGAGGGCUCCAGGAAAGGGGUUAUCGAGCCAACAGCUGAAAGCAGGACAGCGCUAGUGCUUCCUCCUGGUAGAUACCUACUGAGAGGCCGAGCUGAACAGCCACGAGUCCUUCGAGUUGAUCCUGCUGAGCUUAGUGACCAAGCGAGGAACAGGUUCAUUUUGGCUUCUUACCAACACAGGAGCAUUAACACUUUGUCAUCCUCCCGUUCCCUGUGCAGAGUCUCUCUCCCUGUGUGGUUUGCCCACAUGGGAAACACAACCUGCCCCAGCGCAGCGCCUCCUCUGCCUUGCUCAGCAAGUCUGUUGAGGUGGGAGCUACUUCAGCAGCGCUCGGGCAACAGGGAGCUGCCUCCCUCUUCUCUGCCAUUCAGUAAGCACUCCAAGGCAUAAACACAUGUGAGAGGGGACAACGGAGGGAAAGGAGGGGAGCCUCAGGGUGCCAGGAAGCUUGAAGAUGCCUGGCUCUCAGCUGGGUAGGGGAAAGUACACAAACUGGCCUUGAUUUCUGAAUGACACCCUCCAACGUUAACUGAAGCCAGCAGUUUCAGCACAUCCAUUGCCUGCAAUGGACACAGCACUGGAAUACCC